Molecule: ribosomal RNA, 114 nt
Filed under: uncultured bacterium
Lineage: Bacteria
Description: partial 16S ribosomal RNA
Rfam family: Bacterial small subunit ribosomal RNA
Source: RNAcentral
CGUUCCCGGGCCUUGUACACACCGCCCGUCACACCACGAAAGUUGGUAACACCCGAAGCCGGUGGCCUAACCGCAAAGAAGGAGCCGUCGAAGGUGGGAUCAGCGAUUGGGGUG